CGCCGAACGCGUACACCCCGCCCGUGCCCUUGUUCUUUUCCAUCGCAGCCGCCGUGGACAUGAUGCCCGCGAGCGAAUACGUCGGCGUGGAAAACGCGGACGUCGGCGCGAUAAACGCGUACAUGCAAAACGCGAUGUGAGCGAGGUAGACGACAAAGAACCAGAGGUAGUUCAUGGCGCUGUCGUUCUUGGCCGCGCUGUACAGGCGUUUGUACCAGAGGUAGAAGGCGCCGGGAACGCCGGUGAGCAUGUAGACCAGCGCCAUGAGCCACGCGCUAAAGCCGCUCUCCAUGCCGGUGAACAUCGCGGCGGUG
Molecule: long non-coding RNA, 314 nt
Filed under: Micromonas commoda
Lineage: Eukaryota; Viridiplantae; Chlorophyta; Mamiellophyceae; Mamiellales; Mamiellaceae
Description: long non-coding RNA (MCOM_LNC000265)
Source: RNAcentral